UUUUCAGCCUCAAGGAACUCAUAACAGUAAUUUAAUAACUCUCAUAUAUUCUUUUCCCUCUCUUGCUCUCUCCAUUUCCCUCAUGGAUACACAGAGGCAAGUUCUAUAGUGAGUUCCAGAAUGUAUGGAUUCUAUAUGCAUCCCAGGAUUCACAAAGUUCUUUAAUUCUGGGCCCCCAAAUUAUGCUUAAAAUGAAGACAUUAUUGCAAGCUCUUCCUUCCAUUGGUUCUGUCCUCACAAAAAUGUCAUUGCCCUCAGAUGAGGUGGAAGAUGGCUUCUACCAGAAACCUGAGAACUCUCUAGUUGGUUCCUAUAUAUGGAAAAAAUACAAGGGAGACAUCACCUGGCAUUCUGCCUCAGUCAUCAAAAUAUCACAAGAUGCCUUUGGACAAAAGAAAUGGAAAGCUUCAGAAAACAAUGCAUGCUUUUCAAAAUUAAUUUUAGAAAUGUUUAUCCUUAAGUGCGGCAAAAAUGUAUCUGAGGAAAUCCUUAAGGGAAGAGGUCUGAGGUUGACAACUCUAUAAUGUGUCUUGUUCUUGUCAGCUCCAGAGAUUGGAAGUCUCAAUCCUCCUAAUGGUAUUUCUAUUCCCGGUGCUAAGAAAGGAUUAAAACUUCCUCAUACUCAUACUUCAGUAAACUUACUGUAAUCAAAGCUACAGUAGAAUUGAAACUGAUUCUAUAAUGAUUGGAUUGCAGACUUAGAAAACUUUUGGGAUGGAUGGAUGCAUCAACACUUGGCUUCAAAUAGGCAUAAAAUUUCAUACUCAUCCCCUGCGGUACCUUUUGUUUGUACAGCAAAGAAACCUAAAAAUAUUUCCAAAGUGUGCUUUGGGGCAUUUUGCAGCCUUCUGCUUAUUUAUUUUUCUGUGUUGCUGUUAGUUUAAUGUUACUGACAAAACUGCAGUAAGUACAGGGUUGAGACUGAUAUCCGCCAGGGCCCUUUGCAAGAAACAGAGUGGGAGAAUUUUUUUCAGCUUUCCCAAGUUUCUUUCCUUACAUUUUAAUUCUCUGUGUGAAGGUGGUCCUUGACUUAUGACCAUUUAUUUAACACCUGUUUGAAUUUACAACGGUGCUGAAAAAUCUGAGUAACAAUAGAUCCUCACACUUACCGGUUGCAGUGUCCCCAUGGUCACCUGAUCAAAAUUUAGGCACAUGGCAAUUGGCAUGCGUUUAUGACGUUUGCAAUCAUUUGUGAACUUCUCAGGGUGCUUCCAACAAGCAAAGUCAGUGGGGGAAGCCAGAUCUGCUUAAUGACUGCAAAAAAUGUCAUAAAAUUGAGUGUGACUCACUUAACAAUUUCAUCAGUUAGUGAUUGAAACUCCAGUCCCUAUUGCGACCAUAAGCGAGGGUUACUUGUAUGGAUGUUUAUUUGUCUGCAUUGUACCUGAUUGUGAAGGUCAGUUUGUGCAACAGAGCUAUUUGCCAAAAAAGAUGGUCCAAAUAAUACAUAUUUUCUGUUGCUCUACCCUCUAAUAGGAAAUUUUGCCCUGUCUUAAUUUGCAAUAUUAUGCUUUUAUGCUGAAAUCCUUUUAAAAAAAAAACUUAAGAUAUUUCUAGAAUGUUGCCUUUUAAUCCCAUAUUAUAUCUUUUCUACUGACAGUAUUUAUUUAUCUAUUGAUUAGCAGUUAUUUUGAUAGAAUGAUGAGCAUGUAAAUGUGUGUGUUGCUGAUCUUAAGCACAAAUUUUAUUAUAUGCCGAUGUAUCAGAAAAGUAUGUCCUAAAGCCUGCAGUUACAUUUCAUCCAAAUUCCUGUUCCCUGUUUUUUAGGAAUGGCUUGAAAAAAAUAUAUACUAUUGAUGAAAAAUGAAGGUGCCAAUAGCAAAACCGAUUUUAGAAUAUAUAGAAAAUACAUUUUAAAACCACAGUAUCUUAUAAUUGUCCCUGUAAUAGGGAAAAUAAUAUGUAUAAAUGGAAUAAUUAGAAAUAUGUCUGCAAAAUAUAUUAAUUUCUCCCA
Long non-coding RNA from Crotalus tigris (Tiger rattlesnake), 1954 nucleotides. RefSeq lists it as uncharacterized. The record is from RefSeq and is a predicted model, not a curated record. NCBI's taxonomy places the organism in Eukaryota, Metazoa, Chordata, Lepidosauria, Squamata, Viperidae. The transcript has 3 exons.